Molecule: ribosomal RNA, 167 nt
Filed under: Cryptocentrus cinctus
Lineage: Eukaryota; Metazoa; Chordata; Actinopteri; Gobiiformes; Gobiidae
Description: partial 12S rRNA
Source: RNAcentral
CACCGCGGUUAUACGAGAGGCCCGAGUUGACACAAGCCGGCGUAAAGAGUGGUUAAUAGAAUAAAAACUAAAGCCGAACACCUUCAAGACCGUUAUACGCACCCGAAGGCAGGAAGACCCCCAACGAAAGUGGCUUUAACUAGCAUGAAACCACGAAAGCUGCGACA